UGUGGCUCAGAGGUAGAGUGCUCACCUAGCACGUGUGAGGGCUUGAGUUCGAUCCUCAGCA
This 61-nucleotide transfer RNA is filed under the name Ictidomys tridecemlineatus (thirteen-lined ground squirrel). RNAcentral's name for it is "Spermophilus tridecemlineatus (thirteen-lined ground squirrel) tRNA". It matches the Rfam family "tRNA", at positions 6 to 65 of the family's 71-position model. From Rfam's summary of the family: Transfer RNA (tRNA) molecules are approximately 80 nucleotides in length. Their secondary structure includes four short double-helical elements and three loops (D, anti-codon, and T loops). Lineage: Eukaryota; Metazoa; Chordata; Mammalia; Rodentia; Sciuridae. The record is from Rfam by way of RNAcentral.